This 275-nucleotide long non-coding RNA is filed under the name Penaeus japonicus. RNAcentral's name for it is "uncharacterized LOC122259300". Lineage: Eukaryota; Metazoa; Arthropoda; Malacostraca; Decapoda; Penaeidae. The record is from RNAcentral.
CAGGCCUGGGGACGCCUACGACCAGUGCCGGGUCUUCUUGAGGGACAACGACGCCACGCUCUAUAAUGAGUCGCUGGCUCAGUUACAGAGCGUUUGCAACACUGUCAUGUGCAGGAGUCCCCACCGCAUAGGCUACUUCAAGGCAGGACCGGCGCUGGAUGGCACAUAUUGCGGCUCCGAAAGUUGGUGCGUUGCAGGAUCUUGCACGCCGUGGCCGGCCAGCAAGGCACCGGUCGUGGUUCUGGGUGGUUGGGGAGCCUGGCAACACACGAGCU